CGGGGUGUAGCGUAGCCCGGUAUCGCGUCUGCUUUGGGAGCAAAAGGCCGUCAACGGUCCGCCGCCGCGGUUCGAAUCUGGCCACCCCGA
This 90-nucleotide transfer RNA is filed under the name Emticicia sp. BO119. RNAcentral describes it as "tRNA-Pro". It matches the Rfam family "tRNA". Rfam says of the family: Transfer RNA (tRNA) molecules are approximately 80 nucleotides in length. Their secondary structure includes four short double-helical elements and three loops (D, anti-codon, and T loops). The record is from RNAcentral. Lineage: Bacteria; Pseudomonadati; Bacteroidota; Cytophagia; Cytophagales; Leadbetterellaceae.